UGGACUACAAGAUCAGGCAAGAUACCCGCUGAG
RNAcentral lists this ribosomal RNA (33 nucleotides) under Syzygiella concreta. RNAcentral's name for it is "partial 26S ribosomal RNA". Lineage: Eukaryota; Viridiplantae; Streptophyta; Jungermanniopsida; Jungermanniales; Adelanthaceae. The record is from RNAcentral.